Molecule: ribosomal RNA, 48 nt
Filed under: uncultured yeast
Lineage: Eukaryota; Fungi
Description: partial 5.8S ribosomal RNA
Rfam family: 5.8S ribosomal RNA
About the family: 5.8S ribosomal RNA (5.8S rRNA) is a component of the large subunit of the eukaryotic ribosome. It is transcribed by RNA polymerase I as part of the 45S precursor that also contains 18S and 28S rRNA. Functionally, it is thought that 5.8S rRNA may be involved in ribosome translocation.
Source: RNAcentral
AACUUUCAACAACGGAUCUCUUGGUUCUCGCAUCGAUGAAGAAGCAGC